Molecule: long non-coding RNA, 1408 nt
Organism: Pteropus alecto (black flying fox)
Lineage: Eukaryota; Metazoa; Chordata; Mammalia; Chiroptera; Pteropodidae
Exons: 3
Source: RefSeq, a predicted model, not a curated record
CCAAGAGUUUGGAGGCCUCCUCUGAAGCUGUCUUCAGAAUCAGGUUAGGAGGCAGAGCGUAAAAUGGCACAUUAUUGUAUGAUUGCCCCUUAUUCUGACCUCCCGCAAUUAUAUUUCUAAGGUAAGUCACAUUCCCGGUUCCACAGGUGUGACUGGCAAAGCCACCUGCCAAGAUCUGCCAACACCAAGGAUGAGAACAUGGCGGGGAAUGUUCUUGGGGCCUCAGAGGUUCUGAGCAUGGCACCCCCUUUGGAAUAGGGGUGAGCUUCCCAAGGGGAGAACUUCUGUGAGCAUACUAUCCAUUUGCCAAGGGUAAAGGUUAUUUAAGGCCCGAGUACAAACAUUAGCAGAGGAAGAUCCCGUGGAGAUUGUCAAAAGGAAACGUUACCCAAAGCCUGAAACGUUAGAAGAAGCUGAUGAAGAUGCGUGGGCCAGAGAGAGCCCCAGAGAAGCUCUCCUAUCUCCCCAGCCGCUUCACUCACCACGGGCAAAACAAUCACACAGCGGAGAAUGGCAAUGAGGACGACCACGACAACACCUUCCUCUACUUCCGGUUCUGCUCUUCCGCCCAGAACUCGCUGUGCAACCUCAGGCAAGUUACCGCCUCUCUCUGAUCCUCAGUGUCCUCAUUAGUCAAGUUAAACAUCGAGAUUCCUGGUAUCCCCUCCAGCUCUCAGACUGAGGGAUGCUUCUGCAGCCAUGAUCUCUUUUGCUUUCACCCCCUUCCUGAGGAGAUGAGCAGGUCAGACUGGCCACAUGCCGCUCGGAGAAGGUGGCAGGGUUCAGCGCCAGAUCCUAGACUAGAGCUGUUGACUUCCAACACCAGGUCCAAUGUCAGCUGACUCCACUAAGCUGCCUACAAGGCUGUGGACAGAGCUUGCCCAGGACCUAUGCACGUCUAACCUCUUGCAACAGAAAGGGUGACAGACACUCUGAAGCCACCGCAUGGAAUCCCUGGCCACCCCAAGGGAUCAGUAUCUGGGGGUGGUUCCUUCUGUCCUUCCCUCCUCCCCUCCUGCCUUCCUUCCUCUGAUUUGCAGAGAGGAGAGAACAGUAGAGGAAGUAGAAGAUGCUGCGGGAAAGACAGGGGUGGCUUGGAUGACUUCCUGAAGCCCCUGCCAGGUGUCAAAUUAACAGGGGGAAGAGAAGAAACCACCGUAAGCAUGGUGUGUGCGUGUGUGUGUGCGUGUGUGUGUGUGUGUGUGUGUGUGUGUGUGUGUGUGUUGGUAAAUGGUGAGAAUGAAGAGCUAAGUGUGGAAAAAGCCCUCACAGCCACCUGUAUUUCCUCUCUAAUUACUCUGUGUUUUAUAUUUCUUCACAAAUCAAUGAGCUUCCUGUUAAACAUUAGGCGAACCUUCACGAGUCAGGGGGAAGGACAGAAGCUCCCCCAUGAAGACGCGCCAGCUGG